This 474-nucleotide ribosomal RNA is filed under the name uncultured organism. Its description in RNAcentral is "partial 16S ribosomal RNA". It matches the Rfam family "Bacterial small subunit ribosomal RNA", at positions 335 to 800 of the family's 1533-position model. The record is from RNAcentral.
ACUCCUACGGGAGGCAGCAGUGGGGAAUUUUGGACAAUGGGCGAAAGCCUGAUCCAGCAAUGCCGCGUGUGUGAAGAAGGCCUUCGGGUUGUAAAGCACUUUUGUCCGGAAAGAAAUCCUUGGCUCUAAUACAGUCGGGGGAUGACGGUACCGGAAGAAUAAGCACCGGCUAACUACGUGCCAGCAGCCGCGGUAAUACGUAGGGUGCGAGCGUUAAUCGGAAUUACUGGGCGUAAAGCGUGCGCAGGCGGUUUGCUAAGACCGAUGUGAAAUCCCCGGGCUCAACCUGGGAACUGCAUUGGUGACUGGCAGGCUAGAGUAUGGCAGAGGGGGGUAGAAUUCCACGUGUAGCAGUGAAAUGCGUAGAGAUGUGGAGGAAUACCGAUGGCGAAGGCAGCCCCCUGGGCCAAUACUGACGCUCAUGCACGAAAGCGUGGGGAGCAAACAGGAUUAGAUACCCCUGUAGUCCCAUGA